This 484-nucleotide ribosomal RNA is filed under the name uncultured bacterium. RNAcentral's name for it is "partial 16S ribosomal RNA". It matches the Rfam family "Bacterial small subunit ribosomal RNA", at positions 30 to 507 of the family's 1533-position model. The record is from RNAcentral.
AUUGAACGCUGGCGGCAGGCCUAACACAUGCAAGUCGAGCGGAUGAAGGGAGCUUGCUCCUGGAUUCAGCGGCGGACGGGUGAGUAAUGCCUAGGAAUCUGCCUGGUAGUGGGGGAUAACGUCCGGAAACGGGCGGUAAUACUGCAUACGUCCUGCGGGAGAAAGUGGGGGAUCUUCGGACCUCACGCUAUCAGAUGAGCCUAGGUCGGAUUAGCUAGUUGGUGGGGUAAAGGGCUACCAAGGCGACGAUCCGUAACUGGUCUGAGAGGAUGAUCAGUCACACGGGAAGUGAGACACGGUCCAGACUCCUACGGGAGGCAGCAGUGGGGAAUAGGGGACAAUGGGCGAAAGCCUGAUCCAGCCAGGCCGCGUGUGUGAAGAAGGUCUUCGGAUUGUAAAGCACUUUAAGUUGGGAGGAAGGGCAGUAAGUUAAUACCUUGCUGUUUUGACGUUACCAACAGAAGAAGCACCGGCUAACUUCGUG